Molecule: ribosomal RNA, 423 nt
Filed under: uncultured bacterium
Lineage: Bacteria
Description: bacterial SSU rRNA
Rfam family: Bacterial small subunit ribosomal RNA
Source: RNAcentral
UGAGGAAUAUUGCGCAAUGCCCGAAAGGGUGACGCAGCGACGCCGCGUGGAGGAUGAAGGCCCUCUGGGUCGUAAACUCCUUUGGUAGGGGAAUAACAGGUCGCUACAGGCGGCCGUGAAUGUACCCUAAGAACAAGCAUCGGCUAACUACGUGCCAGCAGCCGCGGUAAUACGUAGGAUGCGAGCGUUGUCCGGAUUUACUGGGUGUAAAGGGAGCGCAGGCGGAUCUGUAAGUCGGUGGUGAAAUCCUCAGGCUCAACCUGGGAACUGCCACCGAAACUGCGGAUCUUGAGUGUGGAAGAGGUCGAUGGAAUUCCUGGUGUAGCAGUGAAAUGCGUAGAUAUCAGGAAGAACACCGAUGGCGAAGGCAGUCGACUGGUCCACAACUGACGCUCAUGCUCGAAAGCGUGGGGAUCAAACAGG